Molecule: small RNA, 490 nt
Filed under: Pongo abelii (Sumatran orangutan)
Lineage: Eukaryota; Metazoa; Chordata; Mammalia; Primates; Hominidae
Description: retained intron
Source: RNAcentral
GCUGCCUGGCGGCGGGGCGCGGGGCACGCUGGGACGUCUCGCUGGCGGGAGGCCACGGGCUUUCCACAGCGCGGGGGAACGAGAGGCUGCAGGAUGGUCAAGCUGACGGCGGAGCUGAUCGAGCAGGCGGCGCAGUACACUAACGCGGUGCGCGACCGGGAGCUGGACCUCCGGGGGUAUAAAAUUCCCGUCAUUGAAAAUCUAGGUGCUACUUUAGACCAGUUUGAUGCUAUUGAUUUUUCUGACAAUGAGAUCAGGAAACUGGAUGGUUUUCCUUUGUUGAGAAGACUGAAAACAUUGUUAGUGAACAACAACAGAAUAUGGUAAGUGUCUGUAGGGGAAAGUAAUUUUUCCCCCAGGGUAAAUGUUGCAGUGUUCCCUGAAGAAGUUGUAGCAUGUGCUACCGGUUAAACCUACAUGUUUCUUUUUCUUUUUCUUUUUUUUUAAAUAUUUUUUCCAUGAUGGAAGCCACAUUUAAUACAUGUUUUUU